GAAAAAUUAUUUUAAAAAAUCAAGACUUUAAAAGGGAGGGGAAGAAGAUGAUGGGAGACAGGCCUGUUUGAUCACUGGGAAAGUGCUUUUGGGGAGGGAGAGAGAGAGAGGGAAUAUUUGCAGAGAGAGGCAAAGGCAUGCAAAAUCUGAGACCCACAUCACACACAAUCAUCAAAAGCAUAGACAGACACAAACCUUUGAGCCCAUCACUGCUUUAUUUUCCUUUUUUCACUUUAAUAAUGGUAUUUGUGAGUGUUGGGGUUUUCUUUUACAGUUAAAAGAGACAUCACACUCAUUAUUCCUCCUUGCAACUAUCUGUUCACUGGUUCCCUUGAUGCUUGACAUUAGUGCUCCUUCUCAAUGAUUUUAAGCACUCCUGGACUUCAAAACUAUGAGAUACAAGAUGGGUUUUCAAGGAGGUUUCUGAAUUCCACACUCCUCGGGUGAGUUUAUAGUGUUUUGGGGGUCUCAAAGUUUCUAACUUUAUGCUUGUUGCUGAUUUAGUUAGGAAAAUUUUUUACGGGAUUUUGUUGGGACCUGAUCUGCAUUUAGUUUUGGAGGACAUGGGAGAAACUGUGUAAUUGCUUUUUGCGGGGAUUUUCGCCUGCAAAGAUUUUUUUUGUAUUUUUUUUUUAGGAAUUUUAGUUUUACUCUUUUGAAUUGUGUUCUUAUCUUCCUGCAAACUUUAGAUUACAAUUAGAUUUUGUUUAGUUUUUUUCUCAACUGUAAUUUGUAGUAUAUUGAAUUUUAAGUGGCUCAGUCUAGAAGAAAUAAGUUUUCUCUUUUCCAAGUGCAGUACUUGUUUCAGACAAAGUAAAAUUUUGAUUUUAGGGUUCCCAGGAUUAACUUCAAUUGCCGUACCUUGAUUUCAAUAAUGCUGUAAGUUCUUGUUAAACAUGGCUGAAAUUAGACUUACAAGUGUAGAACAAGGCCAAACCAAGAUUCGAAAUGUCCCAAUUGCUGUAACACCAGAAGGUUUUUGGUGUUGUCCUUCUCCUGUUGGGUUUCAAAAGACCGUUAAAACUCAAAAUCCACUAAACAAAACCAAACCAUCGUCACCACCACCUAAGACUACUGUCCAAAAGAAACAAGCUCCAUUUAAUGAGAGAAAGCCACCACCAUCUCCAUUAAGACCUGGACUUCUGUUUGAUGAUCAGUGAAAUUUUGGCUCUGAUACUCCUGUUGUUAGUGCUUCUAUUGCUAAUGAGAGAGUACCGAGGCCAAAAAUAGAAAGUUUGCCAAGGAAGGUGGCAAUUGAGUUUGGAGAACCUGGAACCAAUGACAUGAAGGUGGUCUUACUUGGCAAGCAAGGAUUUUGUGUGAAGCUGAGUGUCCACAAGAAUGUCUUAGUGGAGAACAGCAGCUAUUUUGCUUGUAAACUUUCUGAAGAUUCAAAUUUGUCCUGUCUUGAGAUUGACGAUUGUGAUGAUGUUGGGAUAUAUAUUGAAACUGGGGGACUGACGUAUUGCAAAUAAAUGAAACAGUGGUUGAUCAAGUAAAGUGUCUUGCGGGUGCUUUGAAUUAUCAAGAUUGCUGAAUUUCUUGGCUUCAACUCAUGCAUUCAAACAUGCUUGGAGUAUUUGGAAUCAGUUCCAUGGGUAGGAAAAGAAGAGGAAGAAAAUGUCAUCUCUUCAGUUCUACAACUCCAAAAUGAAGGUGUUGGGGUCACGCCAGUUUUAUAAUGAGUCUCUUCUAAUGUUUUUAAUACGCCUAAGGAUACACUUUCCCACAUAGUGGAACUUGGUCUUAAAAGCAAUGAGGAGAGAGGCCGCCGUGAAAUGAAAUCUGUGGUACUGAAACUCCUUCAGGAGAACAACAACGUUCCAAGUUAUUCGGGUUCAACUGACAUCUGCAAUGAAACCAUCUACAGCCCAUGUAAAAGUUGCGUUAAUUCCCUUUGGUCUUAAUUCAGGCAAGCUGCUGAACCUGAGUUUUCCAAUAAACCUGUGAACUAUAGGGAACUAGUGGUGAAACAAAUAGUUAUUGAUGCUGAUAACCUCUCAUGGUUGCUUUAGAUUUUAGCUGGCAGACAAGCAGCAAAUGAAUUUGCUUUAAUGUAGGCAAGCUAGCAGAAGUUGACAGUGCUACAUGCAAAACUGCCUAUUGUGUCCCGUUACCAUGUUAACUGCAUUACAGCAAGGCUAUUUGUUGGAAUUGGAAGAGGGGAGCUGCUACCAUUAAAAGACACUCAUCACAUGUUGUUACAAACCUGGUUACAACCAUUGAUCAAUGACUAGAGUUGGUUACAACAUGGUUGCCGAUCUUUUGAUAGGAAGGUAGUGGAGGAAGGCAUUGGGAGGACAAUCCUGACUUUACCGCUGGAGAACCAACAGAGUAUUUUGCUUGCAUGGUUGGGCAGUUUUCUGAAGGUUGGUGAUAACUGCCCCAAUCUCCAGAGGGCCUUCGAGGUUUCGUGGCGAAGAACUUUCAUUAGACCUUAUGUUGAAAUCUGGAAAUCUACUCCAGUCAGAUAGCACAAUGAUGUCAAAGCGGUAGAGCUAAUGAGCCUGAAAUGCGAGAGCAAUUUGUAUGAUAAGCAGUUACUGCCAUCUCCAAAUAUGCAAAGUCACUUCCAUAUAAAAAGUGAAAGAAAAGAAAUGGUUGGGCCUUUUCUCUUUUAGCAAGAGAUAAUGCAGCAUAUCCCUCUGGAGGCAAAACAGUGACUAUUGAUAAAGUAUUGCUCGUAUAUUUUAUGAUACCGCAUUGCAGGUUUGUAAAAGUUUUCACUUGACGAUGGUUGCUCGCUUGAUAUUGAAAUGAAUGAAGAACUGUAUUGGAAAUUGCUUUUCUUCAUAUGUGCAAUUUUUUUUCCCUUCCUAUUAUGAUUACGUAAUUGUAAAAGCAGUAUAUAAUAUAUUCAUAUCGAGAUUAUGACUGUAAAUGUGUGAGAAUUAUGAUAGUGUAACCAAAAUUUUCCCCUCAUUUAUUCUCUUCUAAUGUAUUGUUAGUGUAAUGUACUAUUGUAAUGUCUUUUCAUUGUAAUUUAAUUGUUAGAAAGAAAGCAUGACUUGUAUCUAUA
This 3019-nucleotide unclassified non-coding RNA is filed under the name Hevea brasiliensis (rubber tree). The record is from RNAcentral. Lineage: Eukaryota; Viridiplantae; Streptophyta; Magnoliopsida; Malpighiales; Euphorbiaceae.